RNAcentral lists this ribosomal RNA (376 nucleotides) under uncultured organism. RNAcentral describes it as "partial 16S ribosomal RNA". It matches the Rfam family "Bacterial small subunit ribosomal RNA", at positions 527 to 896 of the family's 1533-position model. The record is from RNAcentral.
GUAGGUGGCAAGCGUUGUCCGGAAUUAUUGGGCGUAAAGCGCGCGCAGGCGGUUCGUUUAAGUCUGAUGUGAAAGCCCACGGGCUCAACCGUGGAGGUCAUUGGAAACUGGAGAACUUGAGUACAGAAGAGGAAAGCGGAAUUCCACGUGUAGCGGUGAAAUGCGUAGAGAUGUGGAGGAACACCAGUGGCGAAGGCGGCGUUUCUGGUCUGUAACUGACGCUGAGGCGCGAAAGCGUGGGGGAGCAAACAGGAUUAGAUACCCUGGUAGUCCACGCCGUAAACGAUGAGUGCUAAGUGUUACGGGGGUUUCCGCCCCUUAGUGCUGCAGCUAACGCAUUAAGCACUCCGCCUGGGGAGUACGGCCGCAAAGGCUG